UGGGGAAUAUUGCACAAUGGGCGAAAGCCUGAUGCAGCAACGCCGCGUGAGUGAUGAAGGCCUUCGGGUUGUAAAGCUCUGUCUUCUGGGACGAUAAUGACGGUACCAGAGGAGGAAGCCACGGCUAACUACGUGCCAGCAGCCGCGGUAAUACGUAGGUGGCAAGCGUUGUCCGGAUUUACUGGGCGUAAAGGAUGCGUAGGCGGAUACUUAAGUCAGAUGUGAAAAUCCCGGGCUUAACUUGGGAACUGCAUUUGAAACUGGGUAUCUAGAGUGCGGGAGAGGAAAGUGGAAUUCCUAGUGUAGCGGUGAAAUGCGUAGAGAUUAGGAAGAACACCAGUGGCGAAGGCGACUUUCUGGACCGUGACUGACGCUGAGGCAUGAAAGCGUGGGGAGCAAACA
RNAcentral lists this ribosomal RNA (402 nucleotides) under uncultured bacterium. Its description in RNAcentral is "bacterial SSU rRNA". It matches the Rfam family "Bacterial small subunit ribosomal RNA", at positions 355 to 774 of the family's 1533-position model. The record is from RNAcentral.